AUGGCGUUCAGCGAGGCGCAGGAGGAGCUGGUCCUGCGCUCAUGGAAAGCCAUGAAGCCGGACUCCGAAUCCAUCGCUCUCAAGUUCUUCCUCAGGAUCUUCGAGAUCGCGCCGGCGGCCAAGCCGAUGUUCCCGUUCCUGCGCGACGCCGGCGAGGACGCGCCCCUCCAGAGCCACCCGAAGCUCAAGGCGCACGCCGUGACCGUCUUCGUCAUGGCCUGCGAGUCGGCCACGCAGCUGCGCAAGACCGGCGACGUCAAGGUGAGGGAGGCCACGCUCCGGCGUCUCGGCGCUACCCACGUCAGGGCCGGCGUCGCCGACGCGCACUUCGAGGUGGUGAAGACGGCGCUCCUGGACACCAUCCAGGGCGCCGUCCCGGAGAUGUGGACGCUGGAGAUGAAGGCGGCCUGGGAGGAGGCCUACGACCAGCUCGCCGCUGCCAUCAAGGAGGAGAUGAAGCUCGCUGCGGCGGCUUGA
This 477-nucleotide ribosomal RNA is filed under the name Triticum aestivum (bread wheat). RNAcentral describes it as "partial small subunit ribosomal RNA". The record is from RNAcentral. Lineage: Eukaryota; Viridiplantae; Streptophyta; Magnoliopsida; Poales; Poaceae.